Molecule: long non-coding RNA, 943 nt
Organism: Stomoxys calcitrans (stable fly)
Lineage: Eukaryota; Metazoa; Arthropoda; Insecta; Diptera; Muscidae
Exons: 3
Source: RefSeq, a predicted model, not a curated record
AUUGCGAGCGGAUAGCACAUUUGCCUGUGAUUCAUUCUCAAUGCCCAAACGGCGAUCUUGAUCGGCACCAUAGAAACUAAAACGUUCAUUUCCGGCAGUUUUUGUAAAAGUAUUAAUAACAUUUUUCACUUCAGGAUGAUCGGGAGCAACACCAAACCUACAAUAUGAAAAACAAACAAAAAAUCAUUAAGAACAGAUUCAUUGAACUUCAAUGACGGUUAUUAAUGGCAAAAGUCAUUAAAUUGAGUGUAGAUAAGACAAAAAAGUGAAUACAUUUAAAAAAGAGACGUGUACAAGCAUAUAAAUAUUUAAUAAGCAAUAUGUUUAUGAAUGCCUUUUUUCGAUAUUGGAAAAGUUAUAUAAAUAGUUCCACUUAAGGAAACUAGAAGUUUCAAAUAAUUUGAUCAUAGAAAAGAAAAAUGGCCAAUUUAAAAUUGCUUCCUUUUAGUUUUUAUCUUACAUUUCUCAUGUCUAUCUUCAUUCUGGAGGCAAAAGCCACUUUCGAUUUCAAUGGUGUAGGAACCUAUUUUCAGACUAUAUUCCAUGCUAUCUUUGAUCCCAUAACCAGAGCUUUCACUCCACUCAAUUCAACCAGUAAUUUCUCUUAGUCAUCCUCCAUCUACUUACCUCACCAAUCCAAACGGUACGGGCAGCUUGUCAAUAACAUCAACUUUUACAUCCUGCAUUUGCUUAAGAAUAUUUUGGGCAGCAUAGAAUCCAGCCGGUCCUGCCCCAACAAUGCAAAUUCUUUUGGUCACAUUGGAAUUGUUGGCCAAAUAUCGUUUUAUUUUUAUGUUAUUUGAGCCAAAUUUAUUUGUAUUUUGUAAAAGAUUCCGUAGCAUUUUUUUUAUAAGUUCAAUUGCAACAAAACAACAUAAAUUGUGCAAAAACCGAAUAUUUCUGCUUCUACUUUCUCUUGGUAAAUAAAAAACAGCUGUUGCAA